Molecule: RNA transcript, 1663 nt
Organism: Ipomoea nil (Japanese morning glory)
Lineage: Eukaryota; Viridiplantae; Streptophyta; Magnoliopsida; Solanales; Convolvulaceae
Gene name: exopolygalacturonase-like
Exons: 5
Source: RefSeq, a predicted model, not a curated record
AAAUUAAAUAUUAAAUUCUAAAUUUAAAAUGACAAUCAUUUAAUUCAUUUCUUUAUUAGGAUAUACCAACAGGCAUUAAUACUAUUUGGAGCAACAUAUAUACCAUAUAUGCAUCCACCAAAAUUCUCCCUACCUCCUAUUCUGGUAUAUAAUUCUUCUUAAAUCAGAACACAUUAAGAAGAAUAUCAAGAAAAUAUAUGUGAUUUCUUUCAAUUUCUUCUUUAAUUUUAUUUUCUUUUUUGACAGACAACACGAAAACAUCACGGUGACAACAUCAAAAUCUUCUUCUUCUUCUUCUUCUUCUCUCUCUAUAUAUAUACGCACUUGCAGAUAAGUAGAAAGCAUAAUAACAGAUUGGAAUGGCUUCUUCUCCCACUGUUAUUUUCCCAGUUUUUAUGUUCAUCGUCUUCUUCUUGAGUAUUGCCAGUGCUAAACGUCACCUGCCACAGAAAUACUUCAAUGUCUUGGAUUAUGGUGCUAUUGCCGAUGGAAAGUCGGAGAAUAGUCCGGCAUUUUUGAAGGCGUGGGAGGAUGCAUGUAGAUACCCUGGAAAGAGUAGGGUUUUGAUACCAAAAGGGACAUUCAAGAUUUGGUCGACGACGUUUUUGGGGCCGUGUCGGGGGCCAAUUGCGUUUGUAAUCAAAGGAGUUGUUAAGGCUCCGACAAAUCCCGGAGAGUUCAUGAACAUGAACACGUGGCUAGGGUUCCGAUAUGUGGAUAGGUUGUCGGUGAACGGCGGUGGCUAUUUGGAUGGCCAAGGCCUUGCUGCUUGGCCCUAUAAUGAUUGCUCCACCAAUCCCAAUUGCUCUCCACUUCCCGUUACAUUGAGGUUUGACUUUGUGACGAUGGCAAAAAUAAAUCAUUUGAGAUCAAUAAACAGCAAGAACACCCAUAUCAACUUGUUCGCAUGCCACAACGUAAACAUCAGCCGCAUAAGGCUAACCUCCCCCGGCGACAGCCCCAACACCGACGGAAUCCGCAUCGGAGCUUCCACCCACAUCAAGAUCUCCACUUCCGUCAUCCAAACCGGCGACGACUGCGUCGCCAUGGUCACCGGCUCCAAAAACAUCCUCGUCCGCAAAGUCACCUGCGGCCCCGGCCACGGCAUCAGCAUCGGCAGCCUCGGCAGGUCCCGAGGAGACUUUGUCUCCGACGUUAAAGUCAUCAACUGCACUUUCAUCGGCACGCAAAACGGUGUCAGGAUCAAAACCUGGGCCGCCGGUUCCGUGCCCGGAACGGUUUCCAAUGUAUUCUUUGGUUACAUUUCUAUGCAGAAUGUCAACAACCCCAUCCUCAUUGAUCAAACCUACUGCCCCGGCCUUUCUCAUUGCAGCGAUUUCGGGGAACAGUCGUCACUUGUUAAGAUAAAAGGCGUGACAUUUUACAACAUCUGGGGGACGUCGUCUUCAAAGGUGGCGGUGGCCUUGGAGUGUAGUGCAAGGGAGCCAUGUCAGAACAUUAUCCUCAACAAGAUCAACUUGAGGUACCAUGGCCGAGGAGGGCCGGCGAUUUCGGAAUGUUCGAAUGUAAUUGGCAGAUCUUAUGGGAGACAGUACCCUCCCAGUUGUGUGUAGGUUUAAUUUGUUGACUCUCGAUAUUGAUUAGAAGAUCCAAAGUAUCAACUUUUAAUAAUAACUAAUAUUUUGCAAUGUUGUACGUUUUU